Megalopta genalis is the source of this 318-nucleotide long non-coding RNA. RefSeq lists it as uncharacterized. Lineage: Eukaryota; Metazoa; Arthropoda; Insecta; Hymenoptera; Halictidae. The record is from RefSeq and is a predicted model, not a curated record.
UGGAGCGAGAAUGGAGCGAGGAGACUAGAGAUAGAGCCGCGGGCUAUUCCAACGAUGUGGUGGCAAUAGCUCUUUAGCUGCCUUGACAGCUCCAACUACUUCUGUCGCUAGACAAUGGUCCUCGGCCAUUGUCGAGUACCUAGCAGCGGGCUUAGACGUAAGACAUUCGCCGAAGAGGCGCCACGCUUUUAAAUCAAAAGGGCAUAAUAAAUGGAACAUCGUUGGAUCAAAAUAUAAAAUGGAUUACGAUAUUAGCAGCUGCAAAUGUUAAACUAUAGUCAAAGACAACUGAAAUAAAUCGAACCAAUUAACAGGGAA